CAGCCGCCGCGGGAAUACGUAGGGUGCGAGCGUCAAUCGGAAUUACUGGGCGUAAAGCGUGCGCAGGCGGUUGUGCAAGACAGAUGUGAAAUCCCCGAGCUUAACUUGGGAACUGCAUUUGUGACUGCACGGCUAGAGUGUGUCAGAGGGGGGUAGAAUUCCACGUGUAGCAGUGAAAUGCGUAGAUAUGUGGAGGAAUACCGAUGGCGAAGGCAGCCCCCUGGGAUAACACUGACGCUCAUGCACGAAAGCGUGGGGAGCAAACAGGAUUAGAUACCCGGGUAGUCCCUGUCUCUUAUAA
This 301-nucleotide ribosomal RNA is filed under the name uncultured bacterium. Its description in RNAcentral is "partial 16S ribosomal RNA". It matches the Rfam family "Bacterial small subunit ribosomal RNA", at positions 509 to 809 of the family's 1533-position model. The record is from RNAcentral.